RNAcentral lists this ribosomal RNA (253 nucleotides) under uncultured bacterium. Its description in RNAcentral is "partial 16S ribosomal RNA". It matches the Rfam family "Bacterial small subunit ribosomal RNA", at positions 524 to 776 of the family's 1533-position model. The record is from RNAcentral.
UACGUAGGGUGCGAGCGUUGUCCGGAAUUAUUGGGCGUAAAGGGCUCGUAGGCGGUCUGUUGCGUCGGGAGUGAAAACCCAGGGCUUAACCCUGAGCCUGCUUCCGAUACGGGCAGACUAGAGGUAUGCAGGGGAGAACGGAAUUCCUGGUGUAGCGGUGAAAUGCGCAGAUAUCAGGAGGAACACCGGUGGCGAAGGCGGUUCUCUGGGCAUUACCUGACGCUGAGGAGCGAAAGUGUGGGGAGCGAACAGG